AGAACCUGCCCUUGGGAGGGGAACAACAGCUGGAAACGGCUGCUAAUACCCCAUAGGCUGAGGAACAAAAGGAGAAAUCCGCCCAAGGAGGGGCUCGCGUCUGAUUAGUUAGUUGGUGAGGCAAUGGCUUACCAAGGCGACGAUCAGUAGCUGGUCCGAGAGGAUGAUCAGCCACACUGGGACUGAGACACGGCCCAGACUCCUACGGGAGGCAGCAGUGGGGAAUUUUCCGCAAUGGGCGAAAGCCUGACCGAGCA
RNAcentral lists this ribosomal RNA (257 nucleotides) under uncultured organism. RNAcentral describes it as "partial 16S ribosomal RNA". It matches the Rfam family "Bacterial small subunit ribosomal RNA", at positions 120 to 392 of the family's 1533-position model. The record is from RNAcentral.